UACGUAGGGUGCGAGCGUUAAUCGGAAUACUGGGCGUAAAGCGUGCGCAGGCGGUUAUGUAAGACAGUUGUGAAAUCCCCCGGGCUCAACCUGGGAAUUGCAUCUGUGACUGCAUAGCUAGAGUCCGGAAGAGGAGAGUGGAAUUCCCGGUGUAGCGGUGAAAUGCGCAGAUAUCGGGAAGAACACCCGUGGCGAAGGCGGCUCUCUGGGACGGUACUGACGCUGAGAGACGAAAGCUGA
This 240-nucleotide ribosomal RNA is filed under the name uncultured bacterium. RNAcentral's name for it is "partial 16S ribosomal RNA". It matches the Rfam family "Bacterial small subunit ribosomal RNA", at positions 524 to 763 of the family's 1533-position model. The record is from RNAcentral.